GAUGAACGCUGGCGGCGUGCCUAAUACAUGCAAGUCGAGCGAACAGACGAGGAUCUUGCUCCUCUGACGUUAGCGGCGGACGGGUGAGUAACACGUGGAUAACCUAUCUAUAUGACUUGGAUAACUGCGGGAAACCGUAGCUAAUACCGGAUAAUAUAUCGAACCGCAUGGUGCAAUAGUGAAUUACGGGUUUUCUGUCACCUAUAGAUGUAUCCGCGCCUCAUUAGCUAGUUGGUAAGGUAACGGCUUACCAAGGCAACGAUGCGUAGCCGACCUGAGAGGGGGAUCGGCCACACUGGAACUGAGACGCGGUCCAGACACCGACGGGAGGCCGCAGUAGGGAAUCUUGCGCACUGGGCGAAAGCCUGAAGGAGCAACGCAGCGCGAGUGAUGAAGGUCUGCGGAUCGUAAAACUCUGUUAUGAGGGAAGAACAAAUGUGUAAGUAAAUAUGCACGUCUUGACGGUACCUAAUCAGAAAGCCACGGCUAACUACGU
This 496-nucleotide ribosomal RNA is filed under the name uncultured bacterium. RNAcentral describes it as "partial 16S ribosomal RNA". It matches the Rfam family "Bacterial small subunit ribosomal RNA", at positions 28 to 506 of the family's 1533-position model. The record is from RNAcentral.